GAUGAACGCUGGCGGCGUGCCUAAUACAUGCAAGUCGAGCGAACGGACGAGAAGCUUGCUUCUCUGAUGUUAGCGGCGGACGGGUGAGUAACACGUGGAUAACCUACCUAUAAGACUGGGAUCACUUCGGGAAACCGGAGCUAAUACCGGAUAAUAUUUUGAACCGCAUGGUUCAAAAGUGAAAGACGGUCUUGCUGUCACUUAUAGCUGGAUCCGCGCUGCAUUAGCUAGUUGGUAAGGUAACGGCUUAUCAAGGCAACGAUGCAUAGCCGACCUGAGAGGGUGAUCGGCCACACUGGAACUGAGACACGGUCCAGACUCCUACGGGAGGCAGCAGUAGGGAAUCUUCCGCAAUGGGCGAAAGCCUGACGGAGCAACGCCGCGUGAGUGAUGAAGGUCUUCGGAUCGUAAAACUCUGUUAUUAGGGAAGAACAUAUGUGUAAGUAACUGUGCACAGCGUGACGGUACCUAAUCAGAAAGCCACGGCUAACUACGUG
RNAcentral lists this ribosomal RNA (497 nucleotides) under uncultured bacterium. RNAcentral describes it as "partial 16S ribosomal RNA". It matches the Rfam family "Bacterial small subunit ribosomal RNA", at positions 28 to 507 of the family's 1533-position model. The record is from RNAcentral.